GUCCGCAGCCAUACCACCCUGAACACGCCCCAUCUCGUCUGAUCUCAGAAGCUAAGCAGGGUCGGGCCUGGUCGGUACCUGGAUGAGAGAACCAGCUCUCACUGCCGGUC
Molecule: ribosomal RNA, 110 nt
Filed under: Bos taurus (domestic cattle)
Lineage: Eukaryota; Metazoa; Chordata; Mammalia; Artiodactyla; Bovidae
Also listed under: 2 other names
Source: RNAcentral